RNAcentral lists this ribosomal RNA (496 nucleotides) under uncultured bacterium. RNAcentral describes it as "bacterial SSU rRNA". It matches the Rfam family "Bacterial small subunit ribosomal RNA", at positions 40 to 507 of the family's 1533-position model. The record is from RNAcentral.
CGGCGUGCUUAACACAUGCAAGUCGAACGAGACGAUUUAGAAGCUUGCUUUUAUUGAGUCGAGUGGCAAACGGGUGAGUAACGCGUAGACAACCUGCCGCAAAGAUGGGACAACAGUCCGAAAGGACUGCUAAUACCGAAUGUUGUAUCUCCUCCGCAUGGAAGAGAUAUUAAAGAUGGCCUCUACUUGUAAGCUAUCGCUUUGCGAUGGGUCUGCGUCUGAUUAGCUAGUUGGUGGGGUAACGGCUCACCAAGGCGACGAUCAGUAGCCGGUCUGAGAGGAUGAACGGCCACAUUGGGACUGAGACACGGCCCAAACUCCUACGGGAGGCAGCAGUGGGGAAUCUUCCGCAAUGGGCGCAAGCCUGACGGAGCAACGCCGCGUGAGUGAAGAAGGUUUUCGGAUCGUAAAGCUCUGUUGAGAGGGACGAGAGAUAUAAUCAGGAAAUGGGUUAUAGAGGACGGUACCUUUCGAGGAAGCCACGGCUAACUACGUG